UGGGGAAUAUUGGACAAUGGGCGCAAGCCUGAUCCAGCCAUGCCGCGUGUGUGAAGAAGGCCUUUUGGUUGUAAAGCACUUUAAGCGAGGAGGAGGCUACUUGGAUUAAUACUCUAGGAUAGUGGACGUUACUCGCAGAAUAAGCACCGGCUAACUCUGUGCCAGCAGCCGCGUUAAUACAGAGGGUGCGAGCGUUAAUCGGAUUUACUGGGCGUAAAGCGUGCGUAGGCGGCUUCUUAAGUCGGAUGUGAAAUCCCUGAGCUUAACUUAGGAAUUGCAUUCGAUACUGGGAAGCUAGAGUAUGGGAGAGGAUGGUAGAAUUCCAGGUGUAGCGGUGAAAUGCGUAGAGAUCUGGAGGAAUACCGAUGGCGAAGGCAGCCAUCUGGCCUAAUACUGACGCUGAGGUACGAAAGCAUGGGGAGCAAACAGG
RNAcentral lists this ribosomal RNA (430 nucleotides) under Acidobacteriota bacterium. RNAcentral's name for it is "Acidobacteria bacterium partial 16S ribosomal RNA". It matches the Rfam family "Bacterial small subunit ribosomal RNA", at positions 355 to 776 of the family's 1533-position model. Lineage: Bacteria; Pseudomonadati; Acidobacteriota. The record is from RNAcentral.